AGCGAACGCUGGCGGCAGGCCUAACACAUGCAAGUCGAACGAACCUUUCGGGGUUAGUGGCGGUUGGGUGAGUAACACGUGGGAACGUGCCUUUAGGUUCGGAAUAACUCAGUGUAACUUGUGCUAAUACCGAAUGUGCUCCUCUGGGGAAAGAUUUAUCGCCUUUAGGGCGGCCCGCGUCUGAUUAGCUAGUUGGUUGUGGUUAUGGCUCAUCAAGGCUAGGAUCUGUAGCUGGUCUGGGAGGAGGAUCAGCCACAUUGGAAGUGAGACACGGCCCGAAAUCCUACGGGAGGGGGGAGAGGGGGAUCUAGCGAAAUGGGGUAAAGGAAGACGCAGCCAGGGCGGGUAAAUGAUGAAGGUGGGAGGAAAGUAAAAUUGGUUCACAGGGGACGAUAAUGACGGUACCCGGAGAAGAAGCACCGGCUAACUUCGUG
Molecule: ribosomal RNA, 434 nt
Filed under: uncultured bacterium
Lineage: Bacteria
Description: partial 16S ribosomal RNA
Rfam family: Bacterial small subunit ribosomal RNA
Source: RNAcentral